Molecule: ribosomal RNA, 434 nt
Filed under: Orbulina sp. 'isolate A24'
Lineage: Eukaryota; Foraminifera; Rotaliida; Globigerinidae
Description: SSU rRNA
Rfam family: Eukaryotic small subunit ribosomal RNA
Source: RNAcentral
UUGAUCGCAAGUAAGAGUUGGGUGGGCAAACUCAGGGGACAGCUUCAACUAUUCUUCUUCAAACUAGAGGAAGGUUGCGGCAAUAACAGGUCUGUGAUGCCCUCAGAUGUUCUAGGCUGCACACGUGCUACAUUGAUCAGCACAAUGCGAUACAUUUCGAAAGGAAACAUCGGUUUUAAGGUAACGUCGAUUGCCUACCGAUAGCACCUGGUCCUCAGUGGACUGGGCAAUCUCUUCUAAAUGCUGGUAAGGUACCCACACUCGAGCUAUUUAAUCACACGCGGGAGGCACACACGGUUCAAAUCUCAUUUGCGACUGUUGCCGCCAUGACGUAUGCAACUUGUCAACUCUUCGUGGGGAUCGUCGAUUGCAACUAUUCGACUCGCCACAACUAGGAAUGCCUCGUACGGGUCUUGGUUCACCAUACCGCCCGG